Perkinsus marinus ATCC 50983 is the source of this 72-nucleotide non-coding RNA. NCBI's taxonomy places the organism in Eukaryota, Perkinsozoa, Perkinsida, Perkinsidae. The record is from the annotation of a RefSeq genome assembly.
CAAUGUUUCAUGUAGUGGUAUCACGACUGCUUCGCAUGCAGAAUGCUCCGAGAUCAAUCCCCGGCACAUUCG